GCUGCUCCAUCUCAACUGGCUCUCUUUCUCAUAUCAAUAUCAGAUAUGUAUGUUGUAACAUCCCACAUUGAUCAACGGAGAAGGGGGUGAUGUGCCUUAUAUGUACAUGCCCGUCUCCAUCUAGCAUGAGGCCUUUUGGGAGCUCAUUGGCUUCGGAGUCAUGGGAACUCUGAAGUUAAGUGAGUUGGGGCUAGAGCAAUCCCAGGAUGGGUGACCCACUAGGAAGUUGCUCGUGAGUUUCCAGAAACAAAACAGUGAAGGCAGAGAGGGGGGCCCAAAGCGGACAAUAUCGUGUUACGGCGGAGCCGAUCCCGGGAUGUGACAUAUGUGGCUUAAAAUAUGAAACUGUUGAAAUAGACAUCUAUAUAAAUACAAU
This 376-nucleotide long non-coding RNA is filed under the name Prunus persica (peach). Its description in RNAcentral is "long non-coding RNA (PPER_LNC004817)". Lineage: Eukaryota; Viridiplantae; Streptophyta; Magnoliopsida; Rosales; Rosaceae. The record is from RNAcentral.